Molecule: long non-coding RNA, 6972 nt
Organism: Felis catus (domestic cat)
Lineage: Eukaryota; Metazoa; Chordata; Mammalia; Carnivora; Felidae
Exons: 2
Source: RefSeq, a predicted model, not a curated record
AGAGCCUGAUGUGGGGCUCGAACUCACGAACUGCCAAGAUCAUGACCUGAGCUGAGAUCAAGAGUCAGACGCUUAACCGAUUGCACCACCCGGGCGCCCCCGGUUUAAUUUUCUUUUAAAGAGAAAUCUUCUACUGAGACUUAGUAGAGAAUGGAUCAUAAUUGUAGCUCACACAUUAACAUGGUUCAUCGUUUAAAUGUGGUAUUUUCCCCCUCAGCGGCAAGUUGGUGAGAUUUGGUGCCUGCGAACUAUGAUUAUAUGAAUGCAUGUGACAGUCCCAGUCCUGUGAUAAUUACUCGUAAGGAACACAGAUAAACUUCCUUAUAAGAGAAAUUUACCUUGGAGUUAGGAAUCUCACGAACCUCCCUAUGAAUUACUGCUAUGAACCUCACUCUGAAAUUAGUUUCCUGAUUCAAUUUGUUCUUCCGUUCGUCCGUCCUGUCUCUUUUUUGUGGAGGAGAGAGUGCUGUGUUUUUAUUUCAUACAGGAUAAGGAAGUAGACAUUCUUUCUUCCCCAACUUGCCCACUUCUCCACUUCCUCAGUUGAAGAAAACUUUUGAGAUAUAUGCCUUACUUAGUAUCUACUCUCUUUAAAAUGACUUGGAAUAAUUUUUGAGGUUUACUGACAGAGGUAAAAAUCCCUUUGACUUCAAUGUGGUUGUUUUUUACAUGACACCUUCUCAUGACUUUCUUUUUGACUUUGUCUCCGUGUAGUUUGGUGGUGGUGAUAUUUACUUGCUGAUUUUCCUUUAUUUUUCCACUGAAUGAAGUUUGUGCUUGAAUGAAGAGUGUAUCUUAAACCCUUUUUUUUUUUUGGAUGGAUUGCACUUGGAUAAAACUGGCACCACUGUGUUGAUAUGUAAUUAAAUUCUUUACCAUUAUUUAUCUAUGAAUGUGACCAUCGUUAAAUUUAAUUAUAAUGUAUUCCUUUUUAAAUUUCAGUCUGCUGCUUUGUAAAAAGAACUAUAAUUGAUAUUUCAGUUUUUAAAUUCUAAUCAUUGUCAUCCAGUGUAUUAGAAAUGAGGAGUCAAGGAGCUAACUCAUGGUUCUGUACUCAUUUUUAAAAACGGCUCGUAAAGGUUGAGGUAUAUCUGGUGACUUUUUCUGAGACUGAAAAUAGGUGAGAAAUUGAUGCAGGAAAAUGUGGGUAGUGAUUCCAUGUUUGUUAGUAACUUGCCAUCAUGGAGGUCAGAGAAUGAAUGAAUUAAGUAACGUUAACUCUAUUUUUUGUAUACCUUGUUCUUUGUCAUCUGCAAAAUUGAACUGGAUCAAGUGUUAUUUUGGGCCGGGAACAAAGCUUCAUUCAAAGGUUUCUGAGCUAAUCAUUUUACUAUUUUGUUGACCUUGUACACAGAAUGAGAGUAAUCUGUAUUAUAUAAGGAAAGAACUGAUAAAUAUUUAUUAAAUGACAAAUUUGGACCACAGGCUUUCUUCACCUUGUACAGUAUAGUUACACACACACACACACACGCACACACACACACACACACACACACACACACACACACACCCUUUCUGGCAUGGGGUCGUGUCCUGUACUUCUGGGGCUGUUUUACCUCAAAGUGUGUUCUGUUCUCUUUCUACUGCAUUAAGUUUAUUUGAAAUUAUUUGUGCCUAUACUGUAUAUUUCCCUACAGUGGUAAAGAAUUAUGCCAUAGUUUCAUUGGCACCGUUAGAUGAAAGAAAGGUGGCCGUCAGCAAGAUAAAAGUGAAACUGAGUAACUAUUUCAGAAUACUGUGGACUUGUGCAUCGUUAGUAUACUGCUGACGUUUUCUUGGUUUCGUCUGCCAUCUUGAAGUGCAUCUCGAAAGCCCCAUUUGUUACGUAGUGAUACAGCAGCUGAAGCCGGACUUCAUUACAAAUAGCUCUGAGCAUUUGUGUCAUGCCAAUUACCACCGCAUUUCCAAAGUAUAAAUAUAAAUAUACAAGAUCUUUCAGGCUUCUGCAUGAUACUUUGGGGGUGAGUGGACCACCCCAGCCUUUCUCCCAGCAUACGCUGAGCUGCCUUUAGAGGAGCAAUGGUGUGGUUGGCCACACAUGCAUGUUUUCUGUCCAUUUCAGAGUAGAGUGCCUUAGCCAGGCCGGAGGUUUCCUUUGUGUCUCUGCGGACCAGAGUUACCCAGACCUGUGAGAAGUUUCUUGUCAGGUUAUGGUAUGAAACCUGCCCUUUGGUGCUUGACAGAAAUUAAUUCCCCCACAUUUGAGGGGAGCAUGGGAUAGAAAAAUCUUUACCUGACUAGAGUAUGUUAUUGCCGUCUUUCCCAGUCCUUUACUAACAUUCGUGACCGUCAGUGCAUCGCACAGUUUAAAAUUGUCACGGGUUACGGCAGCACUCCUCCAUUCGCACACAACCGAUGCACACAGCCGGGUAAUACACAAACAGCAAAAUCGUCCUUGGCAUUUGAAUCGCACCAUGCUUAAAAUGCUCUUAAUUCUAAUUUUAAAAAAGCUCCGUGCUGAUUAGUCUAGAAUGUACUUGUACUACUACUAACAUGUCACUUAUUUUAGUAGAGGUUUGGGGAAAAGGAGUGUACGUCUCGGGUUGCCCACAUUCUAAGUAGGUACCAAAAGAGUAUUGAUCAUGACCCGAAGUCUGGGCUCUGGGGGAACAUGCAAGAGAAAAAGCAGGCAUUGGGUCCACUUUAAGGAGAAAAAGGGGUCACCUUAGUGCCCAGUGAUCCUAGUACAAUACAGAAUUUAAACUUCUCACAUUUCAAUUUAAAUCGUCAUUCCGCCACUAAUUUCAAAUUCAAAUGUGAAUUUGGAAGUUUCCUAAAUGCUCAGUUUUCCAAGAAUUUAUUUUGUAGUCCGUUGAAAAACCUUUGGAAUGUACCUUGCUUGCCAAAGUAGACUUUGAUUCUAUCACCUGUGGAAGAUAAAAAGGUAAACUGAAGGUGUUUGAGUCAAAGGCUCCAUUUCCCCUUUCUAUUCUAACUAGAAGCCUGUGUGUGACUCUUCCUUUCAUUCUUCUUCUGGGCUUCCUUUGAACUUGCCACCACCGAGGACAGAGGCGCCGACUUGCUCUGUAGCGCCUAGAUAUUGCCACAUUCCAAUCUCCUUGAUUGCCUUAGAUCUCUUUGCUGGUCUAGGACUGGGAAUGUGCUGGAGGCAACAGAAUGAAGCCGAUGGGCUAGAACUUUUGGCUGUGGGUCCCCAGAAAGGCCAAAAAUAAAUACAGAAAUCUUUGGUUGCGUUGAUUCCUAUGUUCAGAGUGGCCUUUAGCAGUUCUGGACUUGGUUGAGCACUCUGUGGGAGAUUUGUGAAGUCCAGUUAGAAUUUUCUUUUUCUUCUCAAGUGUCUUUGUAAGGCAGCAUGCCCUUUCUUGAACACCCUGUGGGUGAAUAACCUUCCUAAAUUAGCUGCCGGUACUGGAACCUUCCAAGAGGAAUUUUAAUUAGUGUGCUGCAUUUGAAGCACUUUGACAUGUAUAUUUUAAGUGACAGUUUUAACAGGCAAAUGGUGUUAAACUAAUCACCGUGAAACUUGAAAGUGUGAUGCUCUCUCUGUUUUAGGAAGCUUAAGUAAAUUUCUGAUUUUUCUUUUAUUAAUUUUGUGACCCAUGUGACUUGCGUAGUUUACUUUCCGUCUUUGACAGUGGCCCAGAUGACUGGCAUUAGCAGGCAGUUACACUAGGGUUUCUGGUAAAUCCUGGUUGUCGAGCUUUUCCAGAGAGAGUGGCGACACGUACCUUCUUCCUCGUGGGAAGCCAUGGGAGUGGAAUCUGCUGGCUGAUUCGUUGCAGGGCUUCCACGGUGCAAGAUAAAUGUAACCUUACUUUCUAACCCACAUGCUAGUACUACGCUUUGCUCUUCAAUAAACAAAUAUGCGAGAGAUAGUAAUCUAGCGGAUUUUUCUGGUUUGUUUUUAAGCGGGGACCUGCUCUUAAGACAGAGAUCUUCAAUGAGCUAAUAUUUAGGGAAGCAGAAAAUGUUCUGCCAUCUGUAGCCUUCUCACAGGUGGCCGGAGUGAGGAGACUGUGUUGCAUUCGGUCAGAAAGCCCGGGUUCCCAGAAUUGGAAAGUGGCACGUGGACUGAUUUUAGAAUAUCUUAACGAGGGCUUGUCUCUAUAGGAAAGUCCAUGUGGACCUAACAGAAGGAUUGUGUGGUCCAUUCACAUUGUCUUACUCUUCACAGAAUCAUUUGUAGAAAGGUAGGCUAAACCAAAGUGGUGCUGUUUUUAAAGCUUGUGAAUUGGAUCAUGGCCGUAGAGUACCUAAUGCUACAUGGAACUUAAAGUCAGUAUUAAAGAUACCAGGAUUGGCUAAAUGCUGGGGAUGCUUUAUGGCUCUUUGGCUAAAGUCUUCUCUUGAGCAGUUUCUAUGGGUAACCAUUAAAAUUUGGAAUUGAUUUUGUUUUUUUAUUAAAGCAUACACAACUCGCCAUGAGCCCAAGAUUCUUAUAUUCUUGACGAGCACUUUUUAAUUCCAAGGAGUAAGUUCUUGACCUUACGUGGAACACGUUUAGUUAGUACUUGAUAUUACUAACUCGUUACCGGAGGAAUGUUCAUUUCACAAGAUCUGUGAAUGUUGCAUUUUACAUCUGUGUGAAUUACUGGGAUCAUUCAGCAUCAGACUUUAACAACUGCUGAUUGAAACUGCCCACAGUAUUAACAUUGUAGGUUAUGUUGUUUAGAUAACUUAAACGAAAUGAGUCAGCUUUCGGGAGACAAAGACCCAGCUACAUGUAAUGACAUGCUCGUUCCAAAACGUGCCAAGAAAGCAGACUUCAGUGUUACACUCCAAAUUUUAGUUGUUUUAUGAAAGUAGCAUUUCCUCUGGGUAGUGGGGAAGCAGUGAAUUACUGCCCAGGUGCAGACUCCCUGACCCCUACCUUGUCCCCUUCCCCUCCCGUAGGACAAAACAGGUUAAAUUUGUAGCCACCUGUAGGAAAAGAAAUGGCUACUUUUCUGAGUAAGGCUUCGUGCCCUGUGACAGGUGGCAGGCAUCCUGCCGAAUCAGUCAGUACCUUGUGUGGCUCAGACCCGUUGCAGUUUGCUGUGUGUGGUAUUCUGGAACAAGGACGGCUCCGUGCCUUCUCAGGUACCUAUUAGCAACACCACUUACGCAACUGGAACGUGUGUGCCACAAGCAAGCAGAGUGUGUCAGUGAGAUAAAGGGGAACACAAAGUCUUUCAUUUCCUCUUUCAGAUAGUUGAAUGGAGCAUAUUCUUAAUGGGUCUGUCUAGAACUUGCUGUGUUCGUGGUAAAUAAUGUAGCAUUUAUCUGGUUAUGUGUGGUGUGUGUAUAUAUACGUAUUUACUAUGUACACAUAGGUUUUCUGCAUAUCUAUGUAUGAUAUAUUCAUAUAUACAUGCAGUGUGCUCUUGAUUAUCUGCAAAAUGGUACACCCUCGUUAGAUUGUCUCUUCCUGUUGACCUAAUCGGCACGUAGCCCCUAACUCCGAAGCCUCUUCCUCCUCUAGAGCCACAGUCGUUCCUACUUGCAGUUCAUCUCAAUCCCCGCGGAAGGCCCUUGUGAAAUACGCCUCUUUCUGUUUCCCUUCCACCAGGGAUUGUGAGCCAGAAAGACAGUUUUUGAAGAAGACGGCUGCUUCCAUCAGGUUUGAGUCUUCUGGCUCUGAAUGGUGUUGGGGCCCAUCCCUGGCCAGAAGGCAGCUCUGGGAGCAGUUGUUGUGCUCAAGAGCUCGAGGGGGGAAGAGAUCUAGCUCUUGCAGAAAUGGGGCUUUACAACUUGCUUAAGAGUUCCUUAUCUGCAGUGUUGUGAAGUCGUAGACAGUUUGGUCCACAAAUAGAUCCUAUCACUGUUACUUUUGCAUCGUUGGUGUUACUGUUCCCCAUUGCUGGCCCCGAUAAUCAAGACCUGACUGUUUCUUGCCAGUGGAUUCUGGAAGCCUUGCCUUCUGAACUGGAUUUAUGUUUAUUUCUGCUGCUGUGAACCCCAAAAGUAAUGCAGUAGGUUUUAAUUUAAAAUUGUUUCAUUCUAUUAUGGAUAAAUAUUUAUUGUAAUAAAAGUAAAGAGUAAAUAAUUUUUAAAUCCUUUUAACUGUUUUCAGAUUGUCUUCUUUAUUUUUCCUUGGUAGAUGCAAGAGGGGAGGGUGCUCUGAGGGAGAAGAAUGCUGUCUCAGAAUCACUGAUUACUUUAGAGCAGCAUAGUGCAAGGUUUUUUGUUUUGUGUGUUUAAAGAGUGAUCCGCCUGCUUGCUCCUGGGUGUUCUACAACCCUGUGACUUGUUUCAGAAAGCCGAGUACCAGGCAGGUGGCAGUAACAGCUGUUCGUAGUGUCCUGCUCUUGACUGCCCCAGAACUGGGUGCUGGGCAGUGUAUAAUAAUAACUGGGUCACACUUCAAUUAGUUGGGAAGGUGGUUGUCUUAAACACAUUUUCUCACAGAAAAAUGUAUGGUGUUAAUUUCCCAGGCUAAUUCCACAAGAAUCUAAUGACAUACACUUAGUACACCCAAAGUUUAGUUCAGCUUAUAAAUCACAAGCUUUUAUUUUAAAAACCCCUAUUUUCUAACAUUGCUUCUGAGAAGAUUUCCUAUCUUUUACAUCGGAAGUGGUUCCCAGCUCUGGCAGCAGGCAUUUAAAGUUUUUGUCUCUAACAGGCUUUGAAGAAGGUGAGGGGAAGAUGCCCCGUAUUUUGCCCCGGGGCUGCCUCUCCAGCGGUGUGCUUUUAAUCCCCUGCGCCACCCAGCCUCUCGGUCGCCCCAGCAGUUCCUCCUGCCCUUCUGUCCGCAAAUCUCGAACACCCAGCGGGUACCUGACACAUAGCAGGCACGCACCAGUGCCUACCAAGGCGGACCAGACUCUGGAUGCUUGUGAGUCAUCACGGCAGACAUCACCUACAACCCUCCCCACAUCCCACAUCCCUCUCACCCGUGACAUUGGCCUGCUGCAGUCUCUUCAGGAUCUCCUGUUACGACCCUUUAAAGGCAACAACACAACAACUGUUUUAUUAUGUCAAAAGUGAUGUUAUUUGUAAGCUUUUUUUAAUUAAAAAAAAUUUUUUUUUUGA